Molecule: long non-coding RNA, 540 nt
Filed under: Eucalyptus grandis
Lineage: Eukaryota; Viridiplantae; Streptophyta; Magnoliopsida; Myrtales; Myrtaceae
Description: long non-coding RNA (EGRA_LNC006425)
Source: RNAcentral
ACACCGAGGACAACUAAUAUCCAUUGACACACAUCGCUGAUAGGUAAUAUCCACCGACACACACCGGGGACGACUAAUAUCCACCGACACACACCAGGGAUGGGUAAUGUCCACCGACACACACCGGGGACGGGUUCUCUUAACCAGCACACGAUCAUUCAAUUCUGGCCAAGGACACUGUGCUUUGCACUCACAUACCUCAACUUUGGGGGAGUUCCACUGGUGGUUGACCGAGUGGAGGGUUGAAUCGUGGAUGCGUGGGGCGUAGGGGAGAAACGGGUGAAGAGAUAUGGAGGGAAAAAUCGGUGGAAGCUGGGGUUGACCAAGAGGGAUGAAGGAGACGGACGUGUGGCGCUAUAGGGAAAUUCGAUGGGGGCGUUGGUAGAAGAAGAAACAGACGAAGGGAGAGAGACGCUCGGGGCUGCUUCGGUUUGAGGGAACAACUGAAGGUGGAGCAGCAGCAUGGAUGUGGGGGAAAGAGCUUCGCUGGAACAAAAAAUGAAAGCAAAGCCUGAGGUCGACGGGGACAAUGAAACGGAG